RNAcentral lists this long non-coding RNA (458 nucleotides) under Homarus americanus (American lobster). Its description in RNAcentral is "uncharacterized LOC121856990, transcript variant X1". Lineage: Eukaryota; Metazoa; Arthropoda; Malacostraca; Decapoda; Nephropidae. The record is from RNAcentral.
AACCAACCAGCGUGGUGCGCGGGUGUGUGCGCGUUGGUGCUCCGGCCCCGCGGGAAAAUAAAAUGCUUCUACGGGAUUACAAUGACUUGUGUUACUUCAAUUAGACCAUAGCAUUUGAAAAGGUAUAAAUUAUGUUUUUUGGUACAAUGUGCUGCCAUGGCCAUUUUGUAUCCAUAAUGAACGAUAAGGAAUAAGUGACUAGGUGGUGCGCGGAUUAAGGACAUGCAACCAUGAAUAUGUACAAAGAAAGAGUCAGGGGACAGAAUGUUUUGAACAAAUUGCAAAGUCCCUCCAAGAAGGUGGUUGGCAAGCCAGCGCCCUUGAAGUCCAAGGCGGCGUCGCUGUUUAAGCUGGUCACCGUGGAGUUCUGUGACUACACGGGGUCUUUCACCGUGGUGGGGCCCGACCAGGCUAGCCGAGCUGAAUACGUCAGGACACAGCUCAAACAGAUGAGGGUA